GUCUCUUUUGACCGCGAGGUGUCUUCGUACGGCGUAUAUUCACGUGCUCUUCCACUAAACUCAUAACACAUAAGAUGUCCGGAUGUGCUGCAGAUCGAGGAGGAGGAUGUGCUGGAGUUCUUUGCAGCAGGAACCAGCCUGUACUUCCAGGUAGAGCAGUGUCUGCAAGAGGAAGACUGACUGUGUCGGAAGUGUGCCAGAGUGAUUUGGCUGGGUUUUCGCUAACACCAUUAGGACUGCUGUCCCAUGACUGGGGUUUGAUAGUGACCUGGGCCACAUUCUUGGUAUAAUGAAAUUGUGUUUUUCUAUUCUUCCUGUUCGCCUCUGUGUAAAAGCCUCUGAUGCAUCUGACCCUUUAAGACCAAAUUCAUUUACCAGCUGAAAUGUUCUUGCAUGUCUCUAUUAAUAUGACCUCAGAUGAAAGUGUAGCAUCCAAAUUAUGUGUCUCUUAAACAAAUUAUCACACGAUGACACUUGAAUGGAUGGAUGAAUGAAUGGAUUUUAUUUGGUAGCUGUAGUGGUCUAAACUUUUGAGAUCAUAGCAUUAAUGUCAAGUUUCAUGUGAAACUAAUAAAUAAAAAAUGAAUGAUGUUAGUGUCAUCAAUUUAUAUACAGUAUAUAUCUACUUUUGCUUGUUUAUACAACCCUGGAUCCUUUGUUUUAGGAUAGUUUAAAG
This 676-nucleotide long non-coding RNA is filed under the name Sander lucioperca (pikeperch). RNAcentral describes it as "lncRNA (ENSSLUG00000016201.1)". Lineage: Eukaryota; Metazoa; Chordata; Actinopteri; Perciformes; Percidae. The record is from RNAcentral.